This 280-nucleotide ribosomal RNA is filed under the name Clostridioides difficile. RNAcentral describes it as "partial 23S ribosomal RNA". It matches the Rfam family "Bacterial large subunit ribosomal RNA", at positions 2598 to 2880 of the family's 2925-position model. Lineage: Bacteria; Bacillati; Bacillota; Clostridia; Peptostreptococcales; Peptostreptococcaceae. The record is from RNAcentral.
ACGCGAGCUGGGUUCAGAACGUCGUGAGACAGUUCGGUCCCUAUCCGUCGCAGGCGUAGGAAAUUUGAGAAGACCUGUCCUUAGUACGAGAGGACCGGGAUGGACGUACCUCUGGUGUACCAGUUGUUCUGCCAAGGGCAUGGCUGGGUAGCGAUGUACGGAAUGGAUAAGCGCUGAAAGCAUCUAAGCGCGAAGCCAACUUCAAGAUAAGAUUUCCCACCGCAAGGGUAAGACCCCAGAAAGACUAUCUGGUUGAUAGGUCGAAGGUGUAAGUGCAGCA